This 490-nucleotide ribosomal RNA is filed under the name uncultured bacterium. RNAcentral's name for it is "partial 16S ribosomal RNA". It matches the Rfam family "Bacterial small subunit ribosomal RNA", at positions 28 to 507 of the family's 1533-position model. The record is from RNAcentral.
GAUGAACGCUAGCGAUAGGCUUAACACAUGCAAGUCGAGGGGCAGCAUGGUCUUAGCUUGCUAAGGCUGAUGGCGACCGGCGCACGGGUGCGUAACGCGUAUGCAACUUGCCUCACAGAGGGGGAUAACCCGUCGAAAGACGGACUAAUACCGCGUACACUCUAUGUUGGGCAUCCAAUGUAGAGGAAAUGAAAUUCGCUGUGAGAUAGGCAUGCGUCCCAUUAGCUAGUUGGUGAGGUAACGGCUCACCAAGGCGACGAUGGGUAGGGGAACUGAGAGGUUGAACCCCCACACUGGUACUGAGACACGGACCAGACUCCUACGGGAGGCAGCAGUGAGGAAUAUUGAUCAAUGGGCGAGAGCCUGAACCAGCCAAGUCGCGUGAAGGAUGACUGUCUUAUGGAUUGUAAACUUCUUUUAGACGGGAAUAACAAGAGUCACGUGUGGCUCCCUGCAUGUACCGUAUGAAUAAGCAUCGGCUAACUCCGUG